AGCCCACGAGGUGAAAUACACCAAAAUGCAAAUUUGGAGAAGCGCCCCAUAAGGGAGCCGGGGCUU
This 66-nucleotide transfer RNA is filed under the name Hemiphyllodactylus montawaensis. Its description in RNAcentral is "tRNA-Cys". Lineage: Eukaryota; Metazoa; Chordata; Lepidosauria; Squamata; Gekkonidae. The record is from RNAcentral.